GGAGGCAGCAGUGGGGAAUAUUGCACAAGCACCGAAAAGCCUGAUGCAGCCAUGCCGCGUGUAUGAAAAAGGCCUUCGGGUUGUAAAGUACUUUCAGUUGUGAGGAAGGGGGUGUCGUUAAUAGCGGCAUCUCUUGACGUUAGCAACAGAAGAAGCACCGGCUAACUCCGUGCCAGCAGCCGCGGUAAUACGGAGGGUGCGAGCGUUAAUCGGAAUUACUGGGCGUAAAGCGCAUGCAGGUGGUUCAUUAAGUCAGAUGUGAAAGCCCGGGGCUCAACCUCGGAACUGCAUUUGAAACUGGUGAACUAGAGUACUGUAGAGGGGGGUAGAAUUUCAGGGGUAGCGGUGAAAUGCGUAGAGAUCUGAAGGAAUACCAGUGGCGAAGGCGCCCCCCUGGACAGAUAAUGACACCCAGAUGCGAAAACGUGGGGAGCAAAAAGCACUAGAUCCCUGGUAGUCCACGCCGUAAACCAAGUCUACUUGGAGUGUGGCCUUGAGCCGGGGCUUUCCCAAACAACCCGUUAACCAAACCCCCUGGGGAGUACGGUCGCAAGAUUAAAACUCAAAUGAAUUGACGGGGGCCCGCACAAGCGGUGGAGCAUGUGGUUUAAUUCGAUGCAACGCGAAGAACCUUACCUACUCUUGACAUCCAGAGAAGCCAGCGGA
Molecule: ribosomal RNA, 666 nt
Filed under: Vibrionaceae bacterium
Lineage: Bacteria; Pseudomonadati; Pseudomonadota; Gammaproteobacteria; Vibrionales; Vibrionaceae
Description: bacterial SSU rRNA
Rfam family: Bacterial small subunit ribosomal RNA
Source: RNAcentral